AUUGAACGCUGGCGGCAUGCCUUACACAUGCAAGUCGAACGGCAGCACGGGUGCUUGCACCUGGUGGCGAGUGGCGAACGGGUGAGUAAUAUAUCGGAACAUACCCUAGAGUGGGGGAUAACGUAGCGAAAGUUACGCUAAUACCGCAUACGACCUGAGGGUGAAAGCGGGGGAGUCGCAAGACCUCGCGCUAUUGGAGCGGCCGAUAUCAGAUUAGCUAGUUGGUGGGGUAAAGGCCUACCAAGGCAACGAUCUGUAGUUGGUCUGAGAGGACGACCAGCCACACUGGGACUGAGACACGGCCCAGACUCCUACGGGAGGCAGCAGUGGGGAAUUUUGGACAAUGGGCGCAAGCCUGAUCCAGCAAUGCCGCGUGCAGGAAGAAGGCCU
This 390-nucleotide ribosomal RNA is filed under the name uncultured bacterium. Its description in RNAcentral is "bacterial SSU rRNA". It matches the Rfam family "Bacterial small subunit ribosomal RNA", at positions 30 to 417 of the family's 1533-position model. The record is from RNAcentral.